UACGUAGGGGGCGAGCGUUGUCCGGAGUUACUGGGCGUAAAGGGCGCGCAGGCGGUCUGGUAAGUUUGGAGUGACAGUGCUCGGCUUAACUGAGCAAGGCCUUCGAAAACUGUCAGACUUGAGCACUCAAGAGGGACAUAGAAUUCCGGGUGGAGUGGUGAAAUGCGUAGAUAUCCGGAGGAAUACCAAAGGCGAAGGCAGUGUCCUGGGGAGUGUCUGACGCUCAGGCGCGAAAGCUAGGGGAGCGAACAGG
Molecule: ribosomal RNA, 253 nt
Filed under: uncultured bacterium
Lineage: Bacteria
Description: partial 16S ribosomal RNA
Rfam family: Bacterial small subunit ribosomal RNA
Source: RNAcentral